GGUUAAGCGAACAAGCGUACACGGUGGAUGCCCUGGCAGUCAGAGGCGAUGAAGGACGUGCUAAUCUGCGAAAAGCGCCGGUAAGGUGAUAUGAACCGUUAUAACCGGCGAUGUCCGAAUGGGGAAACCCGGUGCACUUCGGUGCAUCAUCGUUAGCUGAAUACAUAGGCUAACGAGGCGAACCGGGGGAACUGAAACAUCUAAGUACCCCGAGGAAAAGAAAUCAACCGAGAUUCCCCCAGUAGCGGCGAGCGAACGGGGAACAGCCCAGAGCCUGAAUCAGCUUGUGUGUCAGUGGAACGGUCUGGAAAGGCCGGCGAUACAGGGUGACAGCCCCGUACACGAAGGCACACAGGCUGUGAGCUCGAUGAGUAGGGCGGGACACGUGAUAUCCUGUCUGAAGAUGGGGGGACCAUCCUCCAAGGCUAAAUACUCCUGACU
RNAcentral lists this ribosomal RNA (441 nucleotides) under Cronobacter sakazakii. Its description in RNAcentral is "partial 23S ribosomal RNA". It matches the Rfam family "Bacterial large subunit ribosomal RNA", at positions 1 to 481 of the family's 2925-position model. Lineage: Bacteria; Pseudomonadati; Pseudomonadota; Gammaproteobacteria; Enterobacterales; Enterobacteriaceae. The record is from RNAcentral.